Long non-coding RNA from Stegostoma tigrinum, 524 nucleotides. RefSeq lists it as uncharacterized. The transcript is spliced from 3 exons. NCBI's taxonomy places the organism in Eukaryota, Metazoa, Chordata, Chondrichthyes, Orectolobiformes, Stegostomatidae. The record is from RefSeq and is a predicted model, not a curated record.
CGCUGUAUCAUUCCUUUAUUCAAUGUUAAAAGUAAUUGACUUCUCAUUGUCAUCCAGGGCUUCAGUUGUCGUGAUUUUUAUCUGGUUCAUUUAUCUCAGGAUAAGAGGAUAUUUUCUCACUGCACUUCUAAAGUGCUGCAAGAGUUACCAAUCUAUUGCCUAAUCCAUCUUUCACAAUUUGUUGGAAUCAUGAUUUCCAACCCUCUUGUUUCUACUGGUUCAAUUACAAAAUCUGCUAAAGAGAAAUCAGACCAAUCUGAGAGGUGUGGGAUAUCACUGGAUCAUGUCUACCUCACUGCAUCACCCAAUUAUCAUCAAGGAGAAACUCCUGUUCUACAGUCUAACAAGCUGAAAAAUGACUUCAGAAUGAUCCCAGUCCCAAGAAUUGAAACAUAGAAUUCUUAAGAGGCUUUACAGGGUAUCUUAAAGCCUGGAAAUAUUUCCUGCACGGGGUUUCUUACUCACCUGGUCAGUGCCAGCACAAGAUCCGAAGAUAUUUUGGGUGACACUGCCAUGAUAAUCAC